AUUUUCUGCACCAUUUUCUUGCCACAGGAAAUUAACCUAAACCAUCAUCAUCAGAAAGUAAAUUGUUAUUGUUAUAACUUUUUUAUAUGAUCUUGCCAUUGAUGUGAUGUACUGUACAGCAUUAAUUUGUUCUUUCAGUUUACCUUCAUCGGGGCAUACAUCAAUGGGAUGAAGAAGAUGAUGAGGAAAUAUUUGAAAUUGCAACUCCUUGAAACAAAUGUGAAAGAUAGUUCCCCAAAUCAUCUGAACCAAACCUCACCAACAACUCCAAAUUCUUCUCUCCACUCAACAUCACAAUAUACCUUUCAUAAAAUUCUGUAUAAUCUGACACAAGUUUUUUAGCUAUUGAUACCUUCAAUUCAUCCCUUAACUUCCCAUCUGGUACAAUCCAUGAUGCCUGUUUCUUGUAUGCUUCUUCAAAAGCUGCAUUAAACCUCCGAAAACAUUCUCUUGCUGUUUCAGGUGAUAGUUCUGGAGAAGUUCUCUCUGGUAAAGAUGAGAAGACUUUUGCCCAAGCCAUUGUUUCAUAGUUGGCUGCAUAUUGUUUAACCUUCUUGGCAUGCUUGAUGACCCAAUCCUCACCUAGCAGGAUCUUAAGGCGAGUAGUGCAGACCUUUUCAAUGAUGAAUUGAAGAUUGUUUGCCAGGAAUAGAUAUGAUAAAGAAACAUCUUUGUAUACUUCUGCUUUGCUAUCAAGCUUGCAUAGAAGAACUAGUAUGAGCCAAGCAAUGCGGACUGAGAUUGCUGUGGUUGAACCAUCAUCAAAGGUUGGACUCUCAAAGUAAGAUUCAGGCAAUGGUGAAUUCCCCGACGGAGUAAUAUCCGUGACGAUGUCAGAGAGAAUCCCAACGUAAUCUGCAAGCGCAGAUAUGUAAUUCAUCACUCUUUGAGUCAGCGGGUGAAUACCACCACCAAGAACAGGAGUUUUUGCUGAGUCCUUUUGAAUUGUUGAUUCAAAGUCAGAUAGAAUAGCCUGGACUGACUCACCAAGUCUCUGCAGUGAAGAAAAAGCUUGUAAUUUAAUUGCUGAGGUUGAUUCAGAGUUGAAUGUCAGUUCAAUCUCAGGCCAAAGAUUGGAGAGAGCUCCAUGGAGUUCCAUUAGCAGGAAAAUUCUUUCUGGUGUUUUCUUGCUCUUGGCGAUGAGUUCAGGAAAUCUGAACAGAUUUGUUGCACCUUCUUUGGUUAUCUCGGUGAAGCAUGAUUCUCUGAUAGUCUGAGAUGCAGAAAAAACUAGAUCACAUAGAGCUUUUUCUCCACUAAAAAGUGUUUUCACAGCAAUCUUUACUGCAUUCCGCCAGUUCUUGAUCAGAUGCUCAAGAACUUCCCAAUUCAUUUUUUGAAUUUGAGAAGACCCGAACCUUUCAACUCCAAGCAGAUACAGUCCUUCAUUUACUAUGGACUCUCUGAUCAAUUUGUAUAUUUUGAUACACUCUUUAGCGUAGCCUGCACCUAUCAUACAAUCAGCUAUUGACUUGAGAUCAGAAAUGGCGUUUGUAGCCUCUCUCACAACCUUAGUGAUUGAUUCACCAGCUAUUUUAAUCUCUUCUUCUGAUUCAACCUCAUCUUCGUAUUCAGAAUUGCUCAAGCCAUCUGAAGAUAGACCUGAAACAGACUCUGGAUCAAGUUGGUCACGAUAUGCAGACAAUAUCUGAUAAAAUUCUUUUUGAAGCCUUUUCAUGGCUAUUUCCAUGAGGUUUUGAGCAAGAACAAGCUUAUCAGAGGCCGAAUGUUCAGAAACUAGAAAGUGCAUGGCUCGGCGAAGUUCUUUGACACUUUUGAGGAACUCUUUUGCUUCUUUUCUCUGGUGGAAUAAAUGAGUGAUUGAUGAUGAGUCUGGAUCCCAUUUCUUGAUGAUUAACUCUGCAUUUUCUAUGUUCUCUUCCAUCAUGGAUUCAGUCAAAUUGUGGACAACAGGAGAGGAAGGAAUGGAAGAGCUUGGAAAAGAAAGAGAAGAAGAGAGGGUUUUUGAGGAUGACAAGAAGAGAGAUGAAAAUCCUUUUCUUGCCAUGAAUGUGUGAUUAGUAUUUGGUGUCCUCAAGAGAAGCAUUUAUCUUGAAAGGAUGCAAGUUUAAAGACAAAGCUCUAAUUAAUCACUCCCCUUCAUUGGCUCCGUUUUUUCUGAGUUUUCAUUAUGAAGGGGAUAUAUAUAGAGAAAGAAGAGCCAUUGAGUUUCACAUUGAGGAUGGUG
This 2188-nucleotide unclassified non-coding RNA is filed under the name Hevea brasiliensis (rubber tree). Lineage: Eukaryota; Viridiplantae; Streptophyta; Magnoliopsida; Malpighiales; Euphorbiaceae. The record is from RNAcentral.